CCUACGGGGGGCAGCAGUGGGGAAUAUUGCGCAAUGGGCGAAAGCCUGACGCAGCGACGCCGCGUGAGGGAUGAAGGUCUUCGGAUCGUAAACCUCUGUCAGCAGGGAAGAACGGUCACUGUGCUAAUCAGCAGUGAAUUGACGGUACCUGCAAAGGAAGCACCGGCUAACUCCGUGCCAGCAGCCGCGGUAAUACGGAGGGUGCGAGCGUUAAUCGGAAUUACUGGGCGUAAAGCGCUCGUAGGCGGUAUGUCAAGUCAAGGGUGAAAUCCCCGAGCUCAACGUGGGAACUGCCUUUGAAGCUGGCAAAAUGGAGUGUGUGAGAGGAUAGGGGAAUUGCAGGUGUAGGAGUGA
This 354-nucleotide ribosomal RNA is filed under the name uncultured bacterium. RNAcentral describes it as "partial 16S ribosomal RNA". It matches the Rfam family "Bacterial small subunit ribosomal RNA", at positions 338 to 684 of the family's 1533-position model. The record is from RNAcentral.